Molecule: ribosomal RNA, 877 nt
Filed under: Simplicillium obclavatum
Lineage: Eukaryota; Fungi; Ascomycota; Sordariomycetes; Hypocreales; Cordycipitaceae
Description: eukaryotic LSU rRNA
Rfam family: Eukaryotic large subunit ribosomal RNA
Source: RNAcentral
CUUAAGCAUAUCAAUAAGCGGAGGAAAAGAAACAACAGGGAUUGCCCAGUAACGGCGAGUGAAGCGGCAACAGCUCAAAUUUUGAAAUCUGGCUCCCAGAGCCCGAGUUGUAAUUUGUAGAGGAUGCUUUUGAUGCGGUGCCUUCCGAGUUCCCUGGAACGGGACGCCAUAGAGGGUGAGAGCCCCGUCUGGUCGGAUGCCAAAUCUCUGUAAAGCUCCUUCGACGAGUCGAGUAGUUUGGGAAUGCUGCUCAAAAUGGGAGGUAUAUGUCUUCUAAAGCUAAAUACCGGCCAGAGACCGAUAGCGCACAAGUAGAGUGAUCGAAAGAUGAAAAGCACUUUGAAAAGAGGGUUAAAAAGUACGUGAAAUUGUUGAAAGGGAAGCGCCUAUGACCAGACUUGGGCCCGGUGAAUCAUCCAGCGUUCUCGCUGGUGCACUUUGCCGGGCACAGGCCAGCAUCAGUUUGUCUUGGGGGAAAAAGGCUUUGGGAAUGUGGCUCCCUCGGGAGUGUUAUAGACCAUUGCAUAAUACCCUGGGACGGACUGAGGUUCGCGCAUCUGCAAGGAUGCUGGCGUAAUGGUCAUCAGCGACCCGUCUUGAAACACGGACCAAGGAGUCGUCUUCGUAUGCGAGUGUUCGGGUGUAAAACCCCUACGCGUAAUGAAAGUGAACGCAGGUGAGAGCUUCGGCGCAUCAUCGACCGAUCCUGAUGUUCUCGGAUGGAUUUGAGUAAGAGCAUACGGGGCCGGACCCGAAAGAAGGUGAACUAUUCCUGUAUAGGGUGAAGCCAGAGGAAACUCUGGUGGAGGCUCGCAGCGGUUCUGACGUGCGAAUCGAUCGUCAAAAUAUGGGAAUGGGGGCGAAAGACUAAUCGAAC